This 1088-nucleotide long non-coding RNA is filed under the name Homo sapiens (human). RNAcentral's name for it is "HSALNT0236788". Lineage: Eukaryota; Metazoa; Chordata; Mammalia; Primates; Hominidae. The record is from RNAcentral.
UCACGCCUGGUGGAAGCGAGGGGUUACACGCUCGCUUCUUACCUGGGGGAGGGGGAGGAGUGACGGUGCCGGCCCCGGCCCGCUAUGUGUCACUGCAGGCCUUGUGUCUGCCUCUGACUGGGCGCUGUGUUCACCAGUCUGUCUGACACGGUCGGCUGUGCGUGGGUCCCGGUGUCUGUCUCCGCGUGCACCUGCAUAUCUGCUCAUCUUGUCUCCCUCUGUGCCUGUGUCUGACGCGUUCCUGUCAUUAUCCCUGUCUACAUGACUCCGCGGGGCUGUCUCUGUCUGUGUGUCUGCCUAGCUCCUGUCUCGGUCUUUUGUCUGGGUCUGCCUCUGCAUCACUAGCGUGAUCACGUGUGUCUCCGCACAUGCCCUUCUGUGUUUGCCUUCAUGUUACUGAACAGAGUCGGGGCGACACUGGCGCAGGCCCACCCUCCUGACUCCUUGCUACACUCCUCUCGAUCCUGACGUCUCGCUGGAUCAGUGAUCAUUCUGUCUGAGUCAAGAAUUUGGAGGUCUGUCUGCCUUCAAUCAAGUUCUGUCCCAUCCCUCGACAUCCCUGCUUAUCCUCAGAGCUCCCUGUGGCUCCCACUGUGGUGAUAACUGCUAGCAUUUUGUGAAUAUUUGUUACAUGCCAGGCACUGUAUUAAGUAUUUUACAAGCAUUUCUUUUACUCCUCCCCAAAACCUGACAUAGGAGGUACUCUGAUUACCCCCAUUUUACAGAUGAGGAAAUUGAGGCCCAGAGAGGCUAGGUGACUUGGCCAAAGUCAUUCUGCAAGUGAAGAAUGAAAGAGCUAGGCUUCUUUCCAGAGCCACAUUCUUACCACUCUUAUGUACUGCCUCUGUCCUACUCUCCCUCCCUUGGUUUUAUCCUCACAGGCCAUCUCCUGGGUCAACCUUCCUUUCAGCUCUACCCAUGUUACCAUCCCCAAUGUCUCACGUCCUCUAGAGGAUAAAGUAGGAGGCUGUGCAGCAAAUCUCAGAAGUCAUAGGUUCUUCAUAAUGAAGCUCAUUCAGUUAACAUUAUUCAACACAAAUCCACCAUGCACCCCAAUGUGCAAAACAUCAAGCAAAAUAGUGAGAGAC